UGACAGUACUCCUACGGGGAGGCAGCAGUGGGGGAAUAUUGCACAAUGGGCGCAAGCCUGAUGCAGCCAUGCCGCGUGUGUGAAGAAGGCCUUCGGGUUGUUAAAGCACUUUCAGUCGUGAGGAAGGUAGUGUAGUUAAUAGCUGCAUUAUUUGACGUUUAGCGACAGAAGAAGCACCGGCUAACUCCGUGCCAGCAGCCGCGGUAAUACGGAGGGUGCGAGCGUUAAUCGGAAUUACUGGGCGUAAAGCGCAUGCAGGUGGUUUGUUUAAGUCAGAUGUGAAAGCCCGGGGCUCAACCUCGGAAUAGCAUUUGAAACUGGCAGACUAGAGUACUGUAGAGGGGGGUAGGAAUUUCAGGUGUAGACGGUGAAAUGCGUAGAGAUCUGAAGGAAUACCGGUGGCGAAGGCGGCCCCCUGGACAGAUACUGACACUCAGAUGCGAAAGCGUGGGGAGCAAACAGGAUUAGAUACCCCUGGUAG
Molecule: ribosomal RNA, 481 nt
Filed under: uncultured bacterium
Lineage: Bacteria
Description: bacterial SSU rRNA
Rfam family: Bacterial small subunit ribosomal RNA
Source: RNAcentral